CUUCAGACUUGUAUUUCGUAUGACAGGAUUGGACGUUGUACGUGAAAGAGCUCUUCACUUGGUUUUUACACGUAUCCCUUGGCGGGUGUGUUGUGUCAUCAAACUUUCGGCAUAGUCGUGAUCUGCCAUAUUGAUAGUGCCUGCUCCAUUAGUGUAACCAGCAGGAAAUAACGAUGAAUGAGAUACACCUGACUAAUGGCACUGUUAACUUCACAUUCAUUCAUGCUAUGUAAUGAGUAUGUGAACUUUGUCAUCAAUCGAUGACACUUAUUUCAACAAUUGUGGUGAGAUCUAGUGUCUCCUAGACUGAGACAUUUUUCUGCUGAGGGACAUCUCAAGGUACUGUACAAACAAUACAAGUGCUUGCCAGACACUCAGUGAAUCCGCUGGAGUUGUGAGUAGCCGUCCAGUUCAUAACUGUCAUCUAGCGCACCUUCUCAGUUGCCCGCAUACGGAAACUGACAGAAUUUACUGGAAGAGAUGUUUGGCAUGCAGUGUGAUUGCUGUUAAGGUUAUUUCAGACCGGU
Molecule: long non-coding RNA, 527 nt
Organism: Schistocerca cancellata (South American locust)
Lineage: Eukaryota; Metazoa; Arthropoda; Insecta; Orthoptera; Acrididae
Exons: 4
Source: RefSeq, a predicted model, not a curated record